This 2923-nucleotide ribosomal RNA is filed under the name Paenibacillus sp. PK4536. Its description in RNAcentral is "23S ribosomal RNA". It matches the Rfam family "Bacterial large subunit ribosomal RNA". Lineage: Bacteria; Bacillati; Bacillota; Bacilli; Caryophanales; Paenibacillaceae. The record is from RNAcentral.
GGUUAAGCUACUAAGAGCACACGGUGGAUGCCUAGGCGCUAGGAGCCGAUGAAGGACGUGGCGAACAACGAUAAAGCCUCGGGGAGCUGUAAGCAAGCUGUGAUCCGGGGAUGUCCGAAUGGGGAAACCUAACUGGAUUCAUCUCCAGUUACUCACACCUGAAUACAUAGGGUGUGCAGAGGCAGACGAGGGGAACUGAAACAUCUAAGUACCCUCAGGAAAAGAAAACAAGAGUGAUUCCGUCAGUAGCGGCGAGCGAACGCGGAACAGCCCAAACCAAGAAGCUUGCUUCUUGGGGUUGUGGGACGUCUCUUUGGAGUUACAAAGGAAUGAGGUAGGCGAAGAGGUCUGGAAAGGCCCGCAAGACAAGGUGAAAGCCCUGUAGCUUAAAUCUCAUUCUCUCCGAGACGGAUCCCGAGUAGUGCGGGGCACGUGAAACCCCGUAUGAAUCUGCCAGGACCAUCUGGUAAGGCUAAAUACUCCCUAGCGACCGAUAGUGAAGCAGUACCGUGAGGGAAAGGUGAAAAGGACCCCGGAAGGGGAGUGAAAUAGAACCUGAAACCGUGUGCUUACAAAAAGUCAGAGCCCUAUGAAUGGGUGAUGGCGUGCCUUUUGUAGAAUGAACCGGCGAGUUACGUUCCCGUGCAAGGUUAAGGUGAAAAGCCGGAGCCGCAGCGAAAGCGAGUCUGAAUAGGGCGACUGAGUACGUGGACGUAGACCCGAAACCAGGUGAUCUACCCCUGUCCAGGGUGAAGGUACGGUAACACGUACUGGAGGCCCGAACCCACGCACGUUGAAAAGUGCGGGGAUGAGGUGGGGGUAGCGGAGAAAUUCCAAUCGAACCUGGAGAUAGCUGGUUCUCCCCGAAAUAGCUUUAGGGCUAGCCUCGGAAGUUGAGUCGUGGAGGUAGAGCACUGAUUGGAUGCGGGGCCCGCAAGGGUUACCAAGUUCAGUCAAACUCCGAAUGCCACAGACUUUAUUCCGGGAGUCAGACAGUGAGUGCUAAGAUCCAUUGUCGAAAGGGAAACAGCCCAGACCAUCAGCUAAGGUCCCCAAGUGUGUGUUAAGUGGGAAAGGAUGUGAAGUUGCACAGACAACCAGGAUGUUGGCUUAGAAGCAGCCACCAUUGAAAGAGUGCGUAAUAGCUCACUGGUCGAGUGACUUUGCGCCGAAAAUGUAACGGGGCUAAACACACCACCGAAGCUAUGGCUUGAUACUUUGUAUCAGGGGUAGGGGAGCGUUGAAUGAAGAUUGAAGGUGUACCGCAAGGAGCGCUGGACCUCAUUCAAGUGAGAAUGCCGGUAUGAGUAACGAAAAGAUCAGUGAGAAUCUGAUCCGCCGAAAACCCAAGGAUUCCUGAGGAAGGCUCGUCCUCUCAGGGUAAGUCGGGACCUAAGGCGAGGCCGAAAGGCGUAGUCGACGGACAACAGGUUGAAAUUCCUGUACCACCGAAAGCCGUUAUGAGCAAUGGGAUGACGCAGGAGGAUAGUGACGCGGACUGAUGGAUGUCCGUUCAAGCAGUGAGGCUGGUAUGUAGGCAAAUCCGCAUACCCUAAGGCCAGGCUGUGAUGAGGAGCGAAAAUUGUAGUAGCGAAGGUCAUGAUUUCACACUGCCAAGAAAAGUCUCUAGCCAGGAAGCAGGUGCCCGUACCGUAAACCGACACAGGUGGGUGAGAAGAGAAUUCUAAGGCGCGCGGAAGAACUCUCGUUAAGGAACUCGGCAAAAUGACCCCGUAACUUCGGGAGAAGGGGUGCCCCGGUAGUGUGAAUAGCACGAGGGGGCCGCAGUGAAAAGGCCCAAGCGACUGUUUAGCAAAAACACAGGUCUGUGCGAAGCCGCAAGGCGAAGUAUACGGGCUGACGCCUGCCCGGUGCUGGAAGGUUAAGGGGAGUGGUUAGCGCAAGCGAAGCUAUGAACCGAAGCCCCAGUAAACGGCGGCCGUAACUAUAACGGUCCUAAGGUAGCGAAAUUCCUUGUCAGGUAAAUUCUGACCCGCACGAAUGGCGUAACGAUUUGGGCGCUGUCUCAACGAGAGAUCCGGUGAAAUUUUAAUACCUGUGAAGAUGCAGGUUACCCGCGACAAGACGGAAAGACCCCAUGGAGCUUUACUGCAACUUGAUAUUGAACUGGGGUGCGAUUUGUACAGGAUAGGUGGGAGCCGUAGAAACCGGAGCGCAAGCUUCGGUUGAGGCGCCGUUGGGAUACCACCCUGAUCGCAUUUGAGUUCUAACCUCGUACCGUGAUCCGGUACAGGGACCGUGUCAGGUGGGCAGUUUGACUGGGGCGGUCGCCUCCUAAAGUGUAACGGAGGCGCCCUAAGGUUCCCUCAGAAUGGUUGGAAAUCAUUCGAAGAGUGUAAAGGCAUAAGGGAGCUUGACUGCGAGACAGACACGUCGAGCAGGGACGAAAGUCGGGCUUAGUGAUCCGGUGGUACCGCAUGGAAGGGCCAUCGCUCAACGGAUAAAAGCUACCCUGGGGAUAACAGGCUUAUCUCCCCCAAGAGUCCACAUCGACGGGGAGGUUUGGCACCUCGAUGUCGGCUCAUCGCAUCCUGGGGCUGAAGUAGGUCCCAAGGGUUGGGCUGUUCGCCCAUUAAAGCGGUACGCGAGCUGGGUUCAGAACGUCGUGAGACAGUUCGGUCCCUAUCUGUCGUGGGCGUAGGAAAUUUGAGAGGAGCUGUCCUUAGUACGAGAGGACCGGGAUGGACGCACCGCUGGUGUACCAGUUGUUCCGCCAGGAGCAUCGCUGGGUAGCUACGUGCGGAAGGGAUAAGCGCUGAAAGCAUCUAAGCGUGAAGCCCCCCUCAAGAUGAGAUUUCCCAGUAUGUAAGACCCCUUGUAGACGACGAGGUUGAUAGGUUGGGGGUGGAAGUGCCGCAAGGCAUGGAGCUGACCAAUACUAAUCGGUCGAGGGCUUAUCCAA